AGGUCAGUAGCUCAGUUGGUAGAGUCCCGGUCUCCAAAACCGGUUGUCGUGGGUUCGAGCCCCUCCUGGCCUG
This 73-nucleotide transfer RNA is filed under the name Thiovulum sp. ES. It matches the Rfam family "tRNA". Rfam says of the family: Transfer RNA (tRNA) molecules are approximately 80 nucleotides in length. Their secondary structure includes four short double-helical elements and three loops (D, anti-codon, and T loops). Lineage: Bacteria; Pseudomonadati; Campylobacterota; Epsilonproteobacteria; Campylobacterales; Sulfurimonadaceae. The record is from Rfam by way of RNAcentral.